AUGUAUUGCAGAGUUUGUGCACAUAUGGGUCUUAGCGUGUAGUCACUAAUCGCGCCGAGUAUAGGUGUACUGCACAUUGAGUAUCGUUACAGUUACUAAGCUCCUACGAAAUCAAGCCCCCUCAGAGCUCGGUUGUUUUUCUCUAGCGGCCCCCGGAUGUCAGUGUUAGGCCCGUUUGUCACCACAGCCCAACCGACGGCCUCGCAUUGGUCAAAAUUGGGCCAUGUUCUCUUCGUCUCCAGAGGGAACGCGAUUUAGGGGAAGCGCUAGCGAGGUCGGCGGUCGCCAUCACCCAUCUCGUGAAGGGGGCGCUCAGGCGGCAGUCGAUGGUUCUGGCAGGGCAGCGGUGUGUCCGCGGGAUGAGGGCGUUCCCGCGAGGUGGUUGCCGAAGGGAGGCAUCCCUGCGCCACUGCCACUAUUCCGUAUCGUUUUCCUCCUCUGUUAGUUCCAGGAUGGUGUCAUGUUGAAGCAGAGCAAUGUGAUGUUGUCCUCGAGCCAUGGGGCAGUGCCGUCGUGGACAGACGGGUCAGAUGAUGAGUACAGAGUUACACGAUGUUGCUCCUCUUUUUUUUUUCUCGCCGAGGGACUGCUUCCACCGCCCAGGUUGGACAACAAUAAUGUUGGAAUCCGCCGAGCAGGCCGCUGCCCCGACGUUGGCCACCACUGGCUGGGGUCGUAGUGCCCUCUGCUCGGAGGUCACCCAGGUCGACGUCCGUAGGUGAUUCCUCCUCCAGCAGCAGCCUCCCAUCCUGCACCUGACAGUCAACGUCGCUAUCUCCAAUGAGGGAAUUAGGCAGCAUUCCAUGCCUCACUACUUUAUGAUGCUUUGUGGAUGGAAAUGACCUGACGCUAAUUCCAACCAUUCUUUUGUCUCUAUCCUCUCCCUAACUGACCUCAAGCAAAGCUGCUACUGCUGCUCCAGGGGCAGAUAAUCGAACAAAGGGUGAGGCGGACGAGCUAGAGAAGAUUAAGUAUUCCACAUAUACAGAUGUUAUCUCGGAUUAGAUGAGAAUCAUUCAUCUUCAAUUUUGCAUAACAAGAAACCUAGCUUAUAUUUUUCUAUUGCGACAUUCCAAUGUCUCAAGUUCUUUUGACGUGGAGCAUCCUACAAACAUCACCAUGUCAAGAGUCCGUAUGGCAAGUGAUACGUGCGGCAUCUACUUCACAUACUUAAAGGUGAAUCAUCUCCUUUAUACAUGUCCACUUGACCCCUUCGAGGACGGUAUACUACUUGACAUUCCUCUCGUGUGCAUACAUAGGUAUUGCCGGAGCUUCAUGGAUGACGAGGAGGAGUGCAAGAGCCAAGGAUCACCUACAUCAUCCGUGAGGGAAGCUUGGAAGCGAAGAUGGAAGAAGACGGAGCUGCAGCAAAGCUACAACCACCGGACGUCCGGCCACCCGCAGACCAGACGACCAAAAGAACUCCAGCCAACGAGUGCUACAAAGGCCGGACGGUCGACGACCUCCGGACGUCCGACAAGUCCUAGCCACUGGACGUACGACGCCUACUGGAUAUCCAGUGCCACCUAUCCAGAAGCAAACUGUCAGAAGUCCGACGCCCUCCGGACGUCCGGACCACCGCGAGCGACCGGAUAUUCGGUAACCACCGUACGUCCGAUCCUGCCUGUGCGCAGCCGGGCCUUUGGCCUUGUAUACCUCUCCCACUUACCCCUUCGUGGCUAAGACUAUAUAUACUCCUCCCCCACCCCUAGCUAGAGUUAGCAAAUAUGAUAGCUCAUUUGUAUGUGAGCUUUGCUCCUACCACUCUACUCUUGAGAGAAAGCGAGAGAGAGACUACCACUCCCAUGGAGCUCAAGACCUCCAUGUGAGCAUGUGAGAAGAUCCUAUGGGAUUCAAGACCCCUCAUGGGAAGACCCGUCACAGAUUCAAGAUCUCCUCUUGAAGAUGAACUUCACAUUGUAUCUUUCCCUUUGUUGUUCAUGUACCUUGUGGAUCUAUGUGUUUAUUAGUCUAGUGGAUGUGUGAUUGGACUUGUU
Triticum aestivum (bread wheat) is the source of this 1997-nucleotide long non-coding RNA. RefSeq lists it as uncharacterized. The transcript has 5 exons. The record is from RefSeq and is a predicted model, not a curated record. NCBI's taxonomy places the organism in Eukaryota, Viridiplantae, Streptophyta, Magnoliopsida, Poales, Poaceae.